This 71-nucleotide transfer RNA is filed under the name Calditrichota bacterium. RNAcentral describes it as "Calditrichaeota bacterium tRNA-Pro". It matches the Rfam family "tRNA". Rfam says of the family: Transfer RNA (tRNA) molecules are approximately 80 nucleotides in length. Their secondary structure includes four short double-helical elements and three loops (D, anti-codon, and T loops). Further hydrogen bonds mediate the characteristic L-shaped molecular structure. tRNAs have two regions of fundamental functional importance: the anti-codon, which is responsible for specific mRNA codon recognition, and the 3' end, to which the tRNAs corresponding amino acid is attached (by aminoacyl-tRNA synthetases). tRNAs cope with the degeneracy of the genetic code in two manners: having more than one tRNA (with a specific anti-codon) for a particular amino acid; and 'wobble' base-pairing, i.e. permitting non-standard base-pairing at the 3rd anti-codon position. Lineage: Bacteria; Pseudomonadati; Calditrichota. The record is from RNAcentral.
AACGACUCGCAGUUCGGUAGCGUACUUGACUGGGGGUCAAGUGGUCGCUGGUUCAAAUCCAGUCGUCCCGA